This 1751-nucleotide long non-coding RNA is filed under the name Cicer arietinum (chickpea). Its description in RNAcentral is "long non-coding RNA (CARI_LNC001118)". Lineage: Eukaryota; Viridiplantae; Streptophyta; Magnoliopsida; Fabales; Fabaceae. The record is from RNAcentral.
GUGGGGGUGUUUUUCAUUAUAAGUGCCACGUUUUUACACUUUUAUACUUUUGGUGACAACAUUUUGGACGGUUAUUUUUAAUCAUUACACAAUAUAUAACUCCCAUAAACCACAUGUUCCUCCUUGAGUACUCAAAAAUCUGUAGGGUUAGCUCUCAAUUCAUGCAAAAAUCUGGUUACUGUCUUCACAAUUGCUUCAUUGUUCUUUGGCUGACUUGAGGAAACAACAGCUUUUGCAAUUGAAGCACGCCCUCUUCGACUCUAUUUAGAAAUUUUACAGUCAAUAAUUAUAUUUUAAUAAAUUAUUCAUUUUUAAUGAAAAUUUAUUUUUUGAAUACUUUAAAAUAACAAAUUAUUUAUUUAUUUUUAUGCAAAAUAAAAUUCAUAUAUAAAAUUAAUAGAAUCAAUUUAAUGUAAUAUUUUUUUUCAAUUGAUAAUUUAAUCAAUUAUUUUAAUAUUAGUUGAGGUCUUUUAUUAAGUACUAUGUUUCACCGUUGAGCUAUCAUUAAAUUAUUCAUUGAAAAUAUACUAAAUUAUUCAUUGAAAAUAUUAAGAUAAUACUUGUGUUCAUUAUAGUAUAUAUUUAUGUAUUGGAAUAAAAUCUUUAACCUCGUACCAAACUUUAGAAUAUACAUUUUCUAAUUAUUGACCAUAUGCUUCCAAAAAAAUGUGUUUAAAUGAUUUAAAUAUUUACACCGAAUCACCAAUAGUUAGGAGUAGAAAUAGGCCGAACCGAAUUAGACUUUGUUAAGGUUGAGUCUGACCUGUCAAAAAAUUCAAGGUCUGGCCUAUGAUCUAUCAUAGACUUACUUUUUAGAAAUGAAUAUGACUUUGAUAGAAAGUCUAAUAUGACGUGUUAACCUAUUCAAAAACCUAUUUCAUUUUAACAUUUUUGAAUAAGUAAUCAAACAUAUCUUUAAAUAGAUUAACGAGUUAACAUUUCAAUGAAAUUAAGUUCUAUUUUGAUAUUUAACAUUUUGAAGAAUAUGACUUUAUAUACAUUCUACUUAAAUUAUUAUAUUUUAUAAUGAUACAUUUAAAUAUAUCAAAAAUUAAAUAAAGUUAAUAUGCGUAAAUUACUAAAAGUUUAACAUAUAUAACAAAAAAUCAAAAUUUAAUAUUAUAAUUAUAGUACUAAAAAAUAUUAUUUGUAUUUAUUUAAAUAGGCCUAAAAGGCUUAUCAUGUAGCCUAUAAUAUGACAUUUUUAACUACAUAGAUAUUUUUAAAAAGCCUUGGUCUUAUCUGUUUAAAAAAAAAAAAAAUCUAGUCUGACUUGAGCCUAACGUAGACUAGACCGUAGACCCCUAUCGGUCGACCUGGUCUAUUCCCAUACCUAGCGGUAGUAGUGAAAUAAGAAGCUAACAUAUCAUUAUCAGAAAAGUGAAAUUAAUUAGAGACAUAAAAAAUAAAAAUAUAAAAUUUGUCUCUAAUUGUAUUUUUAAGAGCUGAGAUACAAAAAUUGAAUUCUUUUUCCUUUAAUUUCUUUUAUUGUAUUUUAACACGAGUUUAAUUACUAUACUCGUCAAUAUAAAAAGUUUUACAUGUCAUUGCAUUACAACUAUUUAUAGUGAUAAUUUUAGAAAUAAUUUUAAUAAAAAUUACCUUUAUAAUGAUCUAACGAUUGUAAUUGAUAAAAAAUAUAAAAAAAAGUAUAUAAAUUAAAUAUUUAUAAUACACCUUGUGGGUUACUCUUAGAUGGGAUAUGAUAAUAAAAAGUUACCUUUCGCCACUUUAGAAUUGAGUUAUCAUCG